AAACCUUUGUUGUGCCUAUGACAUACGUAAUCCGAGAUGCAUCCUCUACUCUACAUGGGCGACAAGUUAGCAUGCAUGAGCUUCAGAACAUGCAGUGCUAAUAGCAAGUGUAAGGCCAAGAUAACAAUAUGUGUUCUUAUCAGAGACAACAGCAGUAGCAGUACCUGGGGUGACUGGAGAGAUCAAAUCAGCCUUUCCAGCGAGCUUGCCACACUGAGACAACCAGACAGGUGCAUGCACAGCUUCUCACCUACAGAUUAAUCCAGGUAUUGCAACAGAUUAAUUUUACCAUCACAUCAUCAGUUUCAAUCCCAAAUUAAUUGUUAAUCCAGGCAGAUUGUACUAUGAUUUUGAAGUGGUCAAAAGAUCAACGCAAGAAAGGCCUGCUGAGACAUAUAUGUUCUCUAAACAUAUAUGAGAAUAAUUCAUAUAUGUUUAGAGAACAUGUUUCAGCAGGUCUUUCUUGCAUUGAUAUAUGAAUCAUUCUUAUUGUCGUCUGCAUAAGUUCCUCAAAACCAAGAGGACUACAGAAAGCCGGAAAAUUAAAAAGGCUGAAUACGUCUGUCCACAAGGAAUAAAUCCCCUUCUGAAUCAUUCUUAUUUAUUUUUGGCUGUAUGGUCGCGUCGAAGAAAAUCAAAUAUAACCGAAAAGAUCACAAUUUCAAAUAUAAUACAUGCAUAAAGGUUAUAUGGCACUUUCACAGGAAACAAAUAAAGGUGGCUGAUUCACAAUAAGUCUUAUUCUAGUCAUGUGUACUCCCGUAUCCGAGAGAUAAGAAAUGCAAGAAGCAGCAGUCACCGCAUGAGAUGCCGAAAAUCAAACAGAUCAUGUGGUGGACCAGCACAAACUUUCAACUCAAUGUUCAGAGAGAAUAGAUUGCUACGAGCCUGAACAAUUGCGUGUCUGCAACUCAGGGCCCACUCUAUAUACUUAUAAUCAGUAGGACUGUAGGGCAUCAUUACCACCCACAUGAUCAAUUGGUAUCUCGUCGCGCAAGCACAAACAGAAAUGGACCAACUUUCAGGUGGUCCUUGGUCAUACAAGUCUCUUCUUGGCCACUAGUUGAAACAGGUCGGCAUGGCAGCCAUUUGUAAUGUCCAAGCACCCAAGACUAUACUGAUAGCCCAGAGAAAUCUAAUCAAGAUCAUUGCUUGCCCCUGCACUCUUGGAGCAUUACAUGUUCUAGUUCAUGGCUCUGUCCCUUGCCAACUUGUCAUGAUAGCUUGAUAGCUGCAACUGCACUACAUGAUGCUUCCCUCCACUCUCACCUAUAAAUCUACCAGCUUACUGACACCAUUUCAUCAUCAGUUCAUCCACAAGCCAACCACUACAACACCUAGCUGAAUCCCACCUGAUACAAAAGUUUCUCUGGACUUUCAGCCAAGAAACAAGGAGAAGAAGCCAUGGUCAGUGCCAAGAGGCUUGCCCAACUGGCUAAGAAGUGGCAGAGGAUGGCGGCCGUGGGGAGGAAGAGGCUUGCCCAGAGUACGGUGGUGAAAAGAGCCGCCGAGGAGUGUUACGCAACGACCUCAGUAGCGGUGAAGGGACACGCAGCGUGGUGUAAUACAGCCGAUGGGGGUCGGUUCAAGGUGCCACUGGCGUACCUCGGCACGGCGGUCUUCAUCAAGCUUCUGAGGAUGUCUCAGGGGGAGUUUGGGUUCGCGGGCAGCGACGACAGUCGCAUCGUGCUCCCUGCGAUGCUGUGGUUAUGGAAUACGCCAUGUGCUUGCUCAGGAGAGAUGCUUCCACGGAGGUGGUGAUGGCGUUCGUGAGUUCCAUUGCCAGGUCAUGCUGCUUUGACGGCAGUGUGGUGGCGCCACACGUAGGGUUUAGCCAGUAUGUAGCUGUUUACUAGCUUCUGAAGAGCGGCAGCUGGCUAGGAUCCUUGUUCCAGGCACCAUUUUUUGUUCAAUGGAAGAUGUAAAUACAAAGUUAGUAGAUUAGAAUAGGGAACAAAAAAUUGUGAUGCAAUUAGCAAAAUAUGCAGUUCAACUGUCUGUUUCAGAGUGGGUACUUCAGUAGCACAAUUAUAUUUGUGUGUUAACAAAUUCAGUCAAGGAGUACACCUAGAAACUACAACUAACGCAGUUCUGCACACAUUUUCUUUUAAAGAAUUUAGUGAAGAGAAAAGCAAACGCUGAUACAUUCAAGUACACACGGCAUAUGAUCAGAUAGCAGCUUAGACUUAGAUGAAAGAAAACUUCCAUUGAACAAAAAACUCAGCUGAAUAAUUAAUGGACACAUGCACAUUUAGCAAUUAUAUGAAAAUUAAAGCUAUGACAUAUACCUCUUAAAACAGGGUAUCUUCUUUUUAUUUAUUUCUGACUUGUGUGAAAAUGGGGGAAGCAACAGUGAAAUGCAAACCACGUUAGACUGAAAGUUUAGCAGCGACCAAUCACAACCAUAACGAGUUCCUGAUCAUUUAGUCCUACGUUUUCUUUUCCAGCCAGACAUCAAGUUCAGACCUUCAGAUAGAAGCAUGAUCAUUGACACUGAUGAUAUCUAAACCCGAUCCUUCCAUAACCUGAGUCACAGAACAGAACAUGGCCUUAUCCCUCACCAGCUUGUCACGCUGACAGAUGAUAUGAGAGAAAACCUAUGCUUUGAUGCUCCAAACAUUUGGCCCCAGCACAAUCUAAUCCAAAUUAAUCAUACAACACUGCAUCUGCUGAUCCCAUGGUCUUGUCCCCUGCCAUCUUUUCUGAUUACAACUACACUUCACUGUCACGAUGUCCUUCCUCUCAGCUAUAAAUUCAGCAGACGGCUAAGCUCAACAGCAUCACUUCAUCAACUCCACCACCAACAGGGCAUUAUAAAAUCUAGAUCCCACUUCUCCGAAUUUCUAGCUAAAAAAAAGACACGCAACCAACCAUGGUCAGUGCAAAGCAACUUCCUCAAUUGGCGAAUAAGUAGCAGAGAAUAGUAGUACUUAAGAGGAAGAGGCUGACAGCAACAGCCAAAGAAGAUGAAGAGUGCUGCACCUCAAUAGCGGUCAAGGGCCACUGUGUCAUGUACUCGGCCGAUGGGAGGCGCUUCGAGGUACAAUCAGUGUACCUCAGCACGCCAAUCUUCAGAGAGCUCCUGAGGAUGUCCAGAUCAGACUGCCUUGUGAUGCCGGAGUGAUGGAGUAUGUCAUGCGCUUGCUCAGCUGAAAUGCCUCUGCCGAGGUCG
RNAcentral lists this long non-coding RNA (3172 nucleotides) under Triticum aestivum (bread wheat). Its description in RNAcentral is "long non-coding RNA (TAES_LNC009113)". The record is from RNAcentral. Lineage: Eukaryota; Viridiplantae; Streptophyta; Magnoliopsida; Poales; Poaceae.